GACGAACGCUGGCGGCGUGCUUAACACAUGCAAGUCGAACGGACAGGCCCUGCUCUUGCGGGGUGCUCGAGUGGCGAACGGGUGAGUAACACGUGAGUAACCUGCCCUUGACAUUGGGAUAACUUCAGGAAACUGGGGCGAAUAUCGGAUAGGAGCUCCUGCUGCAUGUGGGUGGUUGGAGAGAUUCGGCGGUUGGGGAUGGACUCGCGGCUUAUCAGCUUGAUGGUGGGGUAGUGGCUUACCAAGGCUAUGAAGGGUAGCCGGCAUGAGAGGGUGACCGGCCACAUUGGGACUGCGGUACGGCGCAGUCGCCUACGGGAGGCAGCAGUGGGGAAUAUUGCACAAUGGGCGGAAGCCUGAUGCAGCAACGUCGCGUUCGGGAUGACGUCCUACGGGUUGUAAACCGCUGUCGCCUUUGACGAAGCGUGCGUGACGGUAAUGGGUAAAGAAGCACCGGCUAACUACGUG
RNAcentral lists this ribosomal RNA (468 nucleotides) under uncultured bacterium. RNAcentral describes it as "partial 16S ribosomal RNA". It matches the Rfam family "Bacterial small subunit ribosomal RNA", at positions 28 to 507 of the family's 1533-position model. The record is from RNAcentral.